RNAcentral lists this ribosomal RNA (253 nucleotides) under uncultured bacterium. RNAcentral describes it as "partial 16S ribosomal RNA". It matches the Rfam family "Bacterial small subunit ribosomal RNA", at positions 524 to 776 of the family's 1533-position model. The record is from RNAcentral.
GACGUAGGGGGCCAGCGUUGUUCGGAAUUACUGGGUGUAAAGGGUUCGUAGGCGGUGUAGCAAGUCGGGAGUGAAAUCUUUGGGCUUAACCCAGAGGCUGCUUCCGAAACUGCUGUGCUUGAGUGUGGGAGAGGCGCGUGGAAUUGCAGGUGUAGCGGUGAAAUGCGUAGAUAUCUGCAGGAACACCCGUGGCGAAAGCGGCGCGCUGGACCACUACUGACGCUGAGGAACGAAAGCUAGGGGAGCAAACAGG